Molecule: long non-coding RNA, 2032 nt
Filed under: Homo sapiens (human)
Lineage: Eukaryota; Metazoa; Chordata; Mammalia; Primates; Hominidae
Description: HSALNT0102809
Source: RNAcentral
AAAAAAAAAGAAUACAAGACCUUGCUAACAAUAGCAAAGAUCAAUUAAUUCAAAAUUUGAAAAACUGUAAUUUAUUUAGCUUUAGAGUACUCUCGUGAUAUGAGAUUGCCAAAUUAAUACUUUGGGUGCAUUUCUUUUCUCAAAGGACUUGCAAAUUUACAAAGAAGUGUUGAAGAAAAGCCACACAUUGGCAGGUAAUGUUUGCAAAAGACAGAUCUGAUGAAGAACAAUAUUUUUAGAAUAUACAAAGAAUACUUAAAACUCAACAGUAAGAAAAUAACCUGAUUUAAAGCAGGCCAAUGACCUGAACAUCUGUUCACCAAAGAAGAUACACAGAUGCAAGUAUGCAUAUGAAAAGAUGCUUGACAUCAUGUCAUUAGGGAACUGCAAAUUAAAACAAGUAGAUACCACUGCAUACCUAGUAGAAUGACCAAAAUUUAGAACACUGUCAGCACCAAAGGUUGCAAAGAUAUGUAGCAAUAGUAACUUGUUCAUUACUGGUGAGAAUGCAAAAUGUGCAAUCACUUUGGAAGACAGUUUGGUGGUUUCUUACAAAAGUAACCAUACUUUUACCAUAAGAUUCACCAAUCACACUCCUUAGUAUUUAUCCAAAGGAAUUGAAAACUUAUCUCCACACAAAAACCUGCACAUAGAUGUUUAUAGCAGCUUUAUUCAUAAUUUAUCCAAAACUUGGAAACAAGAUGUCUUUCAGUAGGUAAGUGGAUAACUGUGGUACUUCUGAAUAAUGGAAUGUUAUUUAGAGUUAAAAAGAAAUGCAUUCACUUUGGGAGGGAUUACAGGUGUGAGCCACCAUGCCUGGCUGCUCUGUAAGUGUCUGAAUUUCAUUUUGUAUUUAUCAGUCUGUUUAGAUUUUCUUUCCCUUCUUGGGUCAGUUAGGCCAUUGGUUUCUUUUUAAAGGUUUUCAAAUUUAUUUGCAUCUAAUUCUUCAAAUUACUCUCAAAAUUAUUCCAGUAUAUAUUCUUUUGUUCCUAUUUUCUUCUGUAUUCUUUAUUAAAAUAGCUAAUGAUUUAUCUAGCAGGACUUAUAUUCUUUCCAUAACUUUCCUGCACCCCAAUUAAUCUCCAAUUUUAUAUUUCUUCUGGCCUUCCUUAUAGUUUCCACAGGUUUAUUUUAUUCAUUUUUUAAAACUUUUAUUUAAUUGUUUAUUUUAUUAUCAUUCUUUCUUAUUCAGCAAUCUAAGUGCUUAGGGAUAUAGAAUUUCCUCUAAGCAGCAUAUGCUAGGCUUUAACAAUGUUAGGGAGGCCUCCCCUUUCUGGGGAAGACCACACUUACAUUAACACAGGACUGUGGGAUGCCAAGAGGUAGAGAAGAGCUUAUGAAUAUCCAGAUUACAUCUUCACUGAUCCUGCACAAAGGUGGGGUUCCUCGGUUACCCACUGGGUCCUAUUACCCAAGUCUGGGUCAGCAUACCGAGACUACGGGUAUAUAGAACAAGUGCAACUGGCGAUAAUCCUUCUGUUGGGGAGAAAAAUCUUUUUUUUCUAUUCAUCUUAGGUUCUCCAUCUGUGGCCCUAUCAAGUAGACUAACAAAAGACAGAUUGACAAGACAGAAACAAAGCAUGUGCAUUGUACAAACACAGGGGAGUACUGAGAUGAAUACUCAAAAGAGGAUUUAGAACUUGGGCUUAUAUAGCAUUUUAAGAAAAGAAUACAUUUUUUAAGUGACAAGGAAGACGAAAAGGACUUUGAGUUUCUAGUGCAGUAAAUUGUGGGAAGGCAACUUUUUCUUUCCCUUUUUUUUUUUUUUUUUUUAAAAAAAAAGACUUCUCUGGUGCUAUGUCCAGGCUGAUAAGAGUCUAAAGUCUCUGGUGACUAACUUUUGUUCUUCCCCGAGUAAGAAGACACCUUCACAAUUUCAUAUCCUGCUUUUAGGCAAAUAGGGAGAGGGCAGAGGUGUUUGUUUGUUUUUAAUCUAUUUUUUUUCUCAAUUGUCUUCAACUCAAAAUACUUCUUAUGCCAAAGAUGGCAUAUUCUGCUACCCUUCACUUACUACUUACAACCCAGCCUCUAU